GGAAGGAUCAUUAUUGAAUAAACUUGGUGGGUUGUCGCUGGCUUUUUGGAGCAUGUGCACGCCUACCAUCUUUAUCAAUCCACCUGUGCACCUUCUGUAGUCUUGGGGGAAUGAAAGUGGCAAAUCCUCGGUAGGUCUUUAUUGACCUUUCGGAUGUGAGGAAUGCUAUGCGAAAGUGUAGCUCUCCUUAAGAGGCCUCUGAUUACUCUCURGACUAUGUCUUUUAUAUACCACAUAGUAUGUUACAGAAUGUAUCACAUGGGCCAUUGUGCCUAUAAAACUCAAUACAACUUUCAGCAACGGAUCUCUUGGCUCUCGCAUCGAUGAAGAACGCAGCGAAAUGCGAUAAGUAAUGUGAAUUGCAGAAUUCAGUGAAUCAUCGAAUCUUUGAACGCACCUUGCGCUCCUUGGUAUUCCGAGGAGCAUGCCUGUUUGAGUGUCAUUAAAUUCUCAAACACACUGGUUUUUGUAAACUAGAUGUGGCUUGGAUUGUGGGGGUAUUCCUGCAGGCCUCUGUUGAGGUCGGCUCCCCUAAAAUGCAUUAGCGGAACCGUUUGCGGUCAGUCACCGGUGUGAUAAUUAUCUACGCCCAAGACAAAGGCUGCUCUCUGUCUGUUCAGCUUAUAAUUGUCCCUUGUGGACAACUUUUGAAUAUUUGACCUCAAAUCAGGUAGGACUACCCGCUGAACUUAA
RNAcentral lists this ribosomal RNA (693 nucleotides) under Lepiota andegavensis. RNAcentral describes it as "eukaryotic LSU rRNA". The record is from RNAcentral. Lineage: Eukaryota; Fungi; Basidiomycota; Agaricomycetes; Agaricales; Agaricaceae.